AGUGGAUUCCUGCACUGCAUCACAACAUGCAACACAGCGUAAUAGCUCCUUACAACGGGAUUUGGGCGUUGCAAAAAGCAGGUGUGUGGCGAUGGCUGAGCGGUUAAAGAUGCUGAGUUUGUCAGCUGGAUAUGGGGUGAGUUCUUGUCCUUUGCUCCAGCUCCUGCCCAUCUAGCAGUUUGAAAGCAUGCAAAUGCAAGUAGAUGAAUAGGUACCACUUCAGGGAAGGUAAUAACAUUCUGGGCUCUUUUGAUGUAUAGCCAUGCUGGCUACAUGAACACAGAAAAUGUCUUCGGACAAUGCUGAUUCCCUUGGCCAAGAAACGGAGAUGACUGGACAGAGAAACCUAUACCUAUACCAUUGGAUUUCACCACUGAGCAAAACGUCUUCAAAGAAAAAAACCAUAAAUCCAGUUGCCUCUUCUAAAUGCACCUUUGGGACAACCAGAACAAGUUAUAAUAUCUCAUAUUCCAUGUGGGGAGAAAGAAUCAUCAAAAGCAGCAUCUCCUUCAGCAAGACUCCUGCGUUAACAGAUUAACAGAGUUGGAAGGGACUUGUAGGCCAUAUAGUCCAAACCCACCACCCCACAAGCAGGAGACCCUACACCAUUUCUGACAGAUGGCAGACCAGUCUCUUCUUGAAAGCCUCCAGUGAUGAAGCUUCCACAACUUCUGAAGGCAACUUCUGUUCCACGGGUUGAUUGCUCUCACUGUCAGAAAGUUCCUCUUCUUAUUUCCAGGUUGAAUCUCUCCUGGUUCAGUUUCCAUCCAUUGUUCCUUGUCUGGC
This is a long non-coding RNA of Pantherophis guttatus, 786 nucleotides long. RefSeq lists it as uncharacterized. Lineage: Eukaryota; Metazoa; Chordata; Lepidosauria; Squamata; Colubridae. The record is from RefSeq and is a predicted model, not a curated record.